CUCGGCAACGGAUAUCUCGGCUCUCGCAUCGAUGAAGAACCUAGCGAAAUGCGAUACUUGGUGUGAAUUGCAGAAUCCCGUGAACCAUCGAGUCUUUGAACGCAAGUUGCGCCCGAAGCCAUUAGGCUGAGGGCACGUCUGCCUGGGCAUCACGC
Molecule: ribosomal RNA, 155 nt
Filed under: Origanum majorana
Lineage: Eukaryota; Viridiplantae; Streptophyta; Magnoliopsida; Lamiales; Lamiaceae
Description: 5.8S ribosomal RNA
Rfam family: 5.8S ribosomal RNA
About the family: 5.8S ribosomal RNA (5.8S rRNA) is a component of the large subunit of the eukaryotic ribosome. It is transcribed by RNA polymerase I as part of the 45S precursor that also contains 18S and 28S rRNA.
Source: RNAcentral